RNAcentral lists this long non-coding RNA (313 nucleotides) under Salmo salar (Atlantic salmon). Its description in RNAcentral is "lncRNA (ENSSSAG00000090015.1)". The record is from RNAcentral. Lineage: Eukaryota; Metazoa; Chordata; Actinopteri; Salmoniformes; Salmonidae.
CAACUGGAGACAUGUUGUUUGAUCUCCGCUGCUCCCCUGAGAAUAGUGUUCCUUUAAAGACAAUGAUACUUAUUGAGGGAGAGAGAAAGAGAGAGAGAGAGAGAGAUUUGGUGAAGCAGCUACAAUUACACAGAACACAAUGUGUCAAGAACCGGGAGGAAAGGAUCCCCCAUCUUUGGUGCAGUGUCACUCUGGGAAAGUGACAGGGGCUAUAUGGUUUCAGGCACCAGGGAACUCAGGCUGCUCAGCUCAUAGAAAAAUCCUCUGUCACAGUGCCUUGGGGUGGUGGCGAUAGGUGUCACAUUGAAGCAAG